Regulatory RNA element from Tessaracoccus bendigoensis DSM 12906, 63 nucleotides. It matches the Rfam family "Actino-pnp RNA". NCBI's taxonomy places the organism in Bacteria, Bacillati, Actinomycetota, Actinomycetes, Propionibacteriales, Propionibacteriaceae. The record is from Rfam.
UCUGGUCCUCGGUAGUGGUCCUCGGGUGCAACGCGCCCCCGCGGACCUCGAUCGAAGACCGGC